GGGCGAUUAGCUCAGUUGGUAGAGCGCUUCGCUUACACCGAAGAUGCCGCGGGUUCGAGUCCUGCAUCGCCCACCA
This 76-nucleotide transfer RNA is filed under the name Candidatus Kaiserbacteria bacterium. RNAcentral describes it as "tRNA-Val". It matches the Rfam family "tRNA". From Rfam's summary of the family: Transfer RNA (tRNA) molecules are approximately 80 nucleotides in length. Their secondary structure includes four short double-helical elements and three loops (D, anti-codon, and T loops). The record is from RNAcentral. Lineage: Bacteria; Candidatus Kaiseribacteriota.